RNAcentral lists this ribosomal RNA (253 nucleotides) under uncultured bacterium. RNAcentral describes it as "partial 16S ribosomal RNA". It matches the Rfam family "Bacterial small subunit ribosomal RNA", at positions 524 to 776 of the family's 1533-position model. The record is from RNAcentral.
UACAGAGGUCUCGAGCGUUGUUCGGAUUCAUUGGGCGUAAAGGGCGCGUAGGCGGCGGGGUAAGUCUGGUGUGAAAUCUCGGAGCUCAACUCCGAAAUUGCACUGGAUACUGCUCUGCUAGAGGGCUGGAGAGGAGAUCGGAAUUCACGGUGUAGCAGUGAAAUGCGUAGAUAUCGUGAGGAAGACCAGUGGCGAAGGCGGAUCUCUGGACAGCUCCUGACGCUGAGGCGCGAAGGCUAGGGUAGCAAACGGG